Molecule: long non-coding RNA, 374 nt
Organism: Cucurbita pepo subsp. pepo (vegetable marrow)
Lineage: Eukaryota; Viridiplantae; Streptophyta; Magnoliopsida; Cucurbitales; Cucurbitaceae
Source: RefSeq, a predicted model, not a curated record
GAGAAAACCGAAGAAAGAGCGGGCGAGUGCUUGCUUGAGAAAAAUGGAAGGAGAAUGGAAAGAAUCAGGGUUCUCUUUAACGUCAGGUCCUUCUAUUAAUUUGGAUGCCGGAUUUCUAAUCUUCGAGCUCUAAGGAAGGUUUUUGUUCAUGGCGGAGCCUGGUAGAAGCCUCAUCUCUGCCGACAAAGGUUCUGUUCGGCGUUGUCAGGUAGCAACUGGCUAGAGAAGAUGAAGAAAAACAAGGGAGGGAAGACUAUGCGAUUGGCUAAGCUUGAGAAGAAGAAGAGACGACUCGGUACUAGUUUCAAAAAUAUUCAUAAACUUUAAAAAGUAAUAUUAAAUAGUUUGAAAAACAAUUUAUGAGGUGUUGAUAG